UACGUAGGUGGCAAGCGUUGUCCGGAUUUACUGGGCGUAAAGAGCGUGUAGGCGGCCAAACAGGUCCGUUGUGAAAACUGGAGGCUCAACCUCCAGACGUCGACGGAAACCGUAUGGCUAGAGUCCGGAAGAGGAGAGUGGAAUUCCUGGUGUAGCGGUGAAAUGCGCAGAUAUCAGGAGGAACACCAAUUGCGAAGGCAGCUCGCUGGGACGUUACUGACGCUGAGACGCGAAAGCGUGGGGAGCAAACAGG
This 253-nucleotide ribosomal RNA is filed under the name uncultured bacterium. Its description in RNAcentral is "partial 16S ribosomal RNA". It matches the Rfam family "Bacterial small subunit ribosomal RNA", at positions 524 to 776 of the family's 1533-position model. The record is from RNAcentral.